This 1148-nucleotide long non-coding RNA is filed under the name Cyanistes caeruleus (blue tit). RNAcentral's name for it is "lncRNA (ENSCCEG00000009686.1)". The record is from RNAcentral. Lineage: Eukaryota; Metazoa; Chordata; Aves; Passeriformes; Paridae.
AGAAAAGAUAAAAUAAAAUAAAAUAAAAUAAAAUAAAAUAAAAUAAAAUAAAAUAAAAUAAAAUAAAAUAAAAUAAAAUAAAAUAAAAUAAAAUAAAAUAAGGAAGUAGCUGGCAUGUUCCUAAUUCAUAAAGCGCUGCAGGAAUGUUCUGUUAGAGCUGUGUGGAAAGGACCAUGGGUGUUUUUUUAAGUAGAUAACACUUCUUUUAUCGGUCAGAGCUCUUCCUGAUGCCUUCAUGGUGAGUUGCCACCUCCAGGCAGAGGAAAUUCCACAUCAGAGUACUUAAUGGUGGUGUUAAACCUGUGAGACCUGCUGGCAAGGGACCUGCCUUGCUGCCUGCAACUCUUGUCACCACUGUCUCCAAAGGACAGCACCAGAAAGGAACAGAGGAAAUUCACGGGUACAGGACUAAAAAAAGCCCCAAACUAUUUUGCUUUCAGAUAAAGAAAAUAAAUACAGUGGUGACAUUUGUAAAGUAAGUAAUGAGUCAAACAAUUUUCUCAUUUUUUAUUUAGACGUAAUUUCUCUCUGUGAUAUCUCUAACAUUUGUCCUGUCAGGUAGAAAGACAAGAUAUCCUGAAAGAAUUUUCUGAUUUUGGUUGCUCCAUGUGGUAGGAUAAAUCUGCUUUGGAUCCAUAGGAAAUCCCCAAUUAUUUCAUAGUCUUCUUUGCAUCGUGCUAUCUUCAGUGCUUCAGAAAACACAUAUUCAUUGUAAUUCUUCUUCAUGGGUAUGGUUUGUCUUUGCUGUGGUUGCUUGAAAUGAACUAAUUCUGAGGCCUUUUUGGGAUGGGAAAAUAAUAUAUUUCUUCUUGUGUUUGAUCUCUGUAGCAAAACAGAUUAAAAAUAUUAAAACCUGAGAACUACAGGGACAUCCCUAUCUUCACUAUAUUAAUAAGAAUUGUUCUUGCUGUUAAAUUUCCCAUAAUCAAUUAAUGGAUUUCAUGACAGGGACUCUUUAUCUCCUCCCCAAAACAUAGAUCCCACUGCAAGAAAGUGAGUUAAGCUUCAGAUUUGACCUUAGAGAAAUGUUGCAGAGGAUUCUCCAAGAAGAAAAGUCCCAGCUAGAAAUAUAAGAUUCUUAGUUUCAACCCAAAUUGAACUAAUACAAAGGCUUUUUCAGAUUUUUGUUCAAGACUAUUUAGUCUACU